AUUGAACGCUGGCGGCAGGCCUAACACAUGCAAGUCGAGCGAGCGGCGGACGGGUGAGUAAUGUAUGGGGAUCUGUCUGAUGGAGGGGGAUAACUACUGGAAACGGUAGCUAAUACCGCAUACCAUCAGAUGAACCCAUAUGGGAUUAGCUUGUAGGUGAGGUAACGGCUCACCUAGGCGACGAUCCCUAGCUGGUCUGAGAGGAUGAUCGGGCACACUGGGACUGAGACAGGGCCCAGACAACUACGUGAGGCAGCAGUGGGGAAUAUUGCACAAUGGGCGGAAGCCUGAUAGAGCCAUGCCGCGUGUAUGAAGAAGGCCUUAGGGUUGUAAAGUAAUUUCAGCGGGGAGGCGUUACCCGCAGAAGAAGCACCGGCUAACUCCGUGCCAGCAGCCGCGGUAAUAC
Molecule: ribosomal RNA, 406 nt
Filed under: uncultured bacterium
Lineage: Bacteria
Description: partial 16S ribosomal RNA
Rfam family: Bacterial small subunit ribosomal RNA
Source: RNAcentral